RNAcentral lists this ribosomal RNA (305 nucleotides) under uncultured bacterium. RNAcentral describes it as "bacterial SSU rRNA". It matches the Rfam family "Bacterial small subunit ribosomal RNA", at positions 337 to 640 of the family's 1533-position model. The record is from RNAcentral.
UCCUACGGGGGGCAGCAGUGAGGAAUAUUGGUCAAUGGUCGGGAGACUGAACCAGCCAAGCCGCGUGAGGGAUGAAGGUACAGAGUAUCGUAAACCUCUUUUGUCAGGGAACAAAGGCGGGGACGUGUCCCCGGGUGAGUGUACCUGAAGAAAAAGCAUCGGCUAACUCCGUGCCAGCAGCCGCGGUAAUACGGAGGAUGCGAGCGUUAUCCGGAUUUAUUGGGUUUAAAGGGUGCGCAGGCGGUCUGUUAAGUCAGCGGUCAAAGCCCGGGGCUCAACCCCGGCCCGCCGUUGAAACUGGCAGU